CCGGGCGGAACGCCGAAUCCUGUCGAUGCCCGGGCGUCAGGGGACACACAUGAGCUCGGCAGGAGCGGGGGACCCAAGGUAAGUGCCGGUCCAGGAGCAGGCCCUGACAGGGUGUCUGCGAGCGGGGCGGCUUGGGGUGAAGUCGUGCAUCGCAAGGUGUGCGACCGGACCACUUCGCCAGUCCGAACCCGACAGCUCACCUCGUAGGCGUACUACGCGAAGGUGA
RNAcentral lists this small RNA (226 nucleotides) under Streptomyces sp. RNAcentral describes it as "c-di-AMP sequence". It matches the Rfam family "c-di-AMP riboswitch aptamer (ydaO/yuaA leader)". From Rfam's summary of the family: This family represents a conserved RNA structure found upstream of the ydaO and yuaA genes in Bacillus subtilis and related genes in other bacteria. The ydaO/yuaA element is thought to act as a genetic "off" switch for the ydaO and yuaA genes in its native state. It is believed that the element may be triggered during osmotic shock leading to activation of ydaO, a predicted amino acid transporter gene, and members of the yuaA-yubG operon which code for KtrA and KtrB K+ transporters. Lineage: Bacteria; Bacillati; Actinomycetota; Actinomycetes; Kitasatosporales; Streptomycetaceae. The record is from RNAcentral.